RNAcentral lists this ribosomal RNA (720 nucleotides) under uncultured Staphylococcus sp. RNAcentral's name for it is "bacterial SSU rRNA". It matches the Rfam family "Bacterial small subunit ribosomal RNA", at positions 60 to 762 of the family's 1533-position model. The record is from RNAcentral. Lineage: Bacteria; Bacillati; Bacillota; Bacilli; Caryophanales; Staphylococcaceae.
AGUCGAGCGAACAGACGAGGAGCUUGCUCCUCUGACGUUAGCGGCGGACGGGUGAGUAACACGUGGAUAACCUACCUAUAAGACUGGGAUAACUUCGGGAAACCGGAGCUAAUACCGGAUAAUAUAUUGAACCGCAUGGUUCAAUAGUGAAAGACGGUUUUGCUGUCACUUAUAGAUGGAUCCGCGCCGCAUUAGCUAGUUGGUAAGGUAACGGCUUACCAAGGCAACGAUGCGUAGCCGACCUGAGAGGGUGAUCGGCCACACUGGAACUGAGACACGGUCCAGACUCCUACGGGAGGCAGCAGUAGGGAAUCUUCCGCAAUGGGCGAAAGCCUGACGGAGCAACGCCGCGUGAGUGAUGAAGGUCUUCGGAUCGUAAAACUCUGUUAUUAGGGAAGAACAUAUGUGUAAGUAACUGUGCACAUCUUGACGGUACCUAAUCAGAAAGCCACGGCUAACUACGUGCCAGCAGCCGCGGUAAUACGUAGGUGGCAAGCGUUAUCCGGAAUUAUUGGGCGUAAAGCGCGCGUAGGCGGUUUUUUAAGUCUGAUGUGAAAGCCCACGGCUCAACCGUGGAGGGUCAUUGGAAACUGGAAAACUUGAGUGCAGAAGAGGAAAGUGGAAUUCCAUGUGUAGCGGUGAAAUGCGCAGAGAUAUGGAGGAACACCAGUGGCGAAGGCGACUUUCUGGUCUGUAACUGACGCUGAUGUGCGAAAGCGU